This 467-nucleotide ribosomal RNA is filed under the name uncultured bacterium. RNAcentral's name for it is "partial 16S ribosomal RNA". It matches the Rfam family "Bacterial small subunit ribosomal RNA", at positions 28 to 506 of the family's 1533-position model. The record is from RNAcentral.
GACGAACGCUGGCGGCGUGCUUAACACAUGCAAGUCGAACGGAAAGGCCCUGCUUUUGUGGGGUGCUCGAGUGGCGAACGGGUGAGUAACACGUGAGUAACCUGCCCUUGACUUUGGGAUAACUUCAGGAAACUGGGGCUAAUACCGGAUAGGAGCUCCUGCUGCAUGGUGGGGGUUGGAAAGUUUCGGCGGUUGGGGAUGGACUCGCGGCUUAUCAGCUUGUUGGUGGGGUAGUGGCUUACCAAGGCUUUGACGGGUAGCCGGCCUGAGAGGGUGACCGGCCACAUGGGGACGGAGAUAGGGCCCAGACUCCUACGGGGGGCAGGAGGGGGGAAUAUUGAACAAGGGGCGGGAGCCGGAGGGAGCAACCCCGGGUGGGGGAGGGAGGCCGUCGGGUUGGAAACCGCUUUCGCCUGUGAGGAAGGGUAAGGAAAGGAAAUGGGGAAAGAAACACCGGCAAAUUACGG